Molecule: long non-coding RNA, 470 nt
Filed under: Homo sapiens (human)
Lineage: Eukaryota; Metazoa; Chordata; Mammalia; Primates; Hominidae
Description: MAP9 antisense RNA 1
Source: RNAcentral
UAAUCCAGUCUGAAAUUUCAGUUACGAUGUGCCUUGCUUGCCCUUCACCUUCCACCAUGAUUGUAAGUUUCCUGAGGCCUCCCCAGCCAUGUGGAACUUAUUCAGUCCAGGUUUAAGUCCUUCAGCAUCUGACAUUCUCCUGGCAACUGUAAUUGAAUCAAUGAUGACUCAUCUGAGAUGAGCAAGUUGGUCCAGUCAGACCAAACAAAAGACAUUCUAUAAUCAGGGGAGAAGUCUUCUCUAUAUCUCUCUUAUAUGAGCAAGAGCAGGAAAACCCUUAGUGAAACCUGCCUCUGCAGGUUGAUGGCUUGGGAGGAAAGGCAUUAUGGAAAAUGAUUAGGAAAAGUAGGAGAAAGAAGCUCUAUUCCAGAAGCAGUCUGGAGCACAAAGAAUCCCUAAUCACUGACAUUAAGAAAGAAGAAAAAUAUUCCUAGGACGAUCCUGGAGAGCAAAGGUCAUCAGCAGUCACU